Long non-coding RNA from Stylophora pistillata, 193 nucleotides. Lineage: Eukaryota; Metazoa; Cnidaria; Anthozoa; Scleractinia; Pocilloporidae. The record is from RefSeq and is a predicted model, not a curated record.
AGGCUGCCGCUGAAGAUCCUUACUGGGUGUCACCAGCAUACGCACAUACCCAACCCAGAACUGUCUUCCAAGAAGAAGAGGAAGAUGACGAAGAUGAAGAAGAAUCUCAAAGAAAAAAGAUGAAAUUAUUGUAGGAUAUGUGAUGAAGGCAGAAUAACACAGCGGACAUCUCGUGACGUCAUGAAAAAAUCUC